This is a long non-coding RNA of Heterocephalus glaber (naked mole-rat), 3391 nucleotides long. NCBI's taxonomy places the organism in Eukaryota, Metazoa, Chordata, Mammalia, Rodentia, Bathyergidae. The record is from Ensembl.
GGCUCCCCCGAGCGAGAGACUUGUCCUUCCCGAGGAUAAGCAUCCCUGUGUGGGAGGCCUGCAGCCUGGCCAGCAGCCAGGUCUGUGUGUGUCGCCUCAUGGAGGCUGCUUAGAGCCCUACUGCCACCUUUGGGUUUUAUCAGCUCCAGCUCGGGGCCUUGACUUUGUCCUCAGACAAGCAGCUCGUUGCCGGCCCUGUUCAGAGCCCUGUGGUGGGGACAGAACUGCCACGGAGCAGACACAGACAGCUCUGUGCCCAGGACUUUGUGCAUCGCUGCAGCAGGAGCCACGGGAGGGAUCCACACACGGAGACCCAGGCUCAGCGCCACCUCUGCAGCCCCCACCGGAGGGUGCAGCGCCAGGGCUGUUGCCAGCCACCCCACGGGAAACGGGCAGGUGAACCACAGGAGCAGAGUGACCAAACAGAAAACAGACCCUGCUUCUGCCACCUGAGCAAGUCAGUACCCUCCCAAGCCUCGGUUUCUUACAGAAUAGAUCUGUGAAGAGAAGUUAAUGAGCCAUCUUGCAAAUGUGGCGCUGGGCAGCUCCUCCCAGCACAGGGCACCUUUGCUGACACCUCAAGGGCAGCGGUUGGGCACUGAGUGAGUGGUGGUGCCCACCAAGAGUCUCGACCCUGUGGACAGAUGAGAAAGCUGAAGCAUGGAGGUGAUGAGUAAUCUAACCAGGUGACACCUGGAGAGGAGGGAUUUGAACUCCAAACUGUGAUUCCAGUGCUGCCCCGACAAGCGAGUGUGAGAAAGUUCUCAGUGAGCUGAGGGAGCUUGAUCUCCUCAGGGUAAAACUUGGUGGCCCUUCUUUCGGUAGCCCAGAGACCUCAGGCGGAGGGGAGGUACAGCAUGAAAAGAUGUGGGAUGGAAAAUGUCAGCGUCCAUGGACGGAUGGAGUAACGGCAUACUCAGUUAUGCACUCCAGGUGAAGUGGUUAGCAUUUGAAGAAAGUAUAUAUACCAUGGAAAACUGGUCAGCCUUUAAAAUAAGGGUAUCAUGUACUUCCAGGGCGAACUGAUGGCCAUUAAGUUAAGUGAAAUAAGCCAAAUAAAAAAGGCAGGUGCUGCAUGAUCUCACACUCACAUGUGGAGUAUGAGAAGCCAGACUGUAAAACCGCACUUACCAGAAGCUGGGGUUGGUGGACACACUGGAGAGAUGCUCGUGAAAGGACACAAAUUUCAGUAAGGAGGGAAAAAGCUCUGGAGCUCCAACUCCUUCAUGGCGAGUAUGGUUAAUAACAAAAGGUAUUUGAAAUUGCUAGGAAAAUUGCUUUCAAGGGUUCUCACCACAGAUAAAUACGUGAGGUGACACAAAUGUUCAGUAGCUUAAUUUCACUGUUCCACAGCAUACACGUACCUGAACACACAUGGUACACACGGUAAAUAUAUACCGUUAUUUGUCAGUUAAGAAGGAACCGAGUUACUGCACAUCAGAACCCUGUCCCUGUGAGAAGCAGUAAACACCAGCAGAUUACUCAUGCCAGCCCUUCGCUGGUUAGUCAGUCCCUGAGAGUUGCUUUAUUUCUUGUCAUUCGAGCCACAGCCCAGUUGAACAAACUGCAGGUCUCUUGGCAGCAUUCAGGCCCUGCCUCCCUGAGGAUUGCUGAACUGGAGCUGGGCUCUGAGGGCGGGGGAGAUGCCGCCUCCUGAGUGCCAGGCCGCUCUGGCCCUGGGCUUGGCAGCCCGUGAUGAGAGCCCCAGUCCCUGCCCAGCAAACCUGCCGCUCCCUUCUUCUGGCACUUAGCAGCCGGUCUACCCUGUGGUGACUCAGGGACCCAAUUUAGCGCAGUUCCUUAGGGGCAGAGACUGUUUCUUCCAGAUCAGCGAACAGUGUUCUGCCUCAGCCCUGGGUGGGCGGUGAGGGCACCCUGGAAGCAGAGCCUUGCUCCUAGGACCCGUGCUGCCCCUUGGCCGUGACAGCUGAGGAGGCGGGGGCCCAGGGACAGGAAGUCCAUGUGGGGAGGGCAGAACCCUGGUGCCUAGGGUAGGGGAGCUGAUUCCCUGAUCAGAACCGGCACUGAGGGGAAAGGGGAAGGCGUUCAGGAAGUUCGGGUGGCCAGGAAAGCAGUGAGCAUCACAGCUCCAGCCCCCUCAUCCUCCCUCUGGCCUCCGUGUUCUGUCUGAUGCCAGGCAGGCCCCACCACUGCUGCCUCACUUCUGUCCCAUGAAGGGGACAGAGCUGGGGACCUGCUCCCAGGGGCUGCCCGAGGCUCAGUUGUGCUCGGGUCAAGGAUUUGUUUCUUGUUUGUUUUGUUUUUUACUAGUUUAUAUUAUGGUCCUAAUUUUUUAAAGUAACGCUAACUUUGUAUGUUUGGGUUUUUGGGGGGUUUUUUAGGCACAAUGAUCUAGUCAGGUUGUUAAGUGAAGGCAGCACUGAAAGGUCAUUAAUUUGUGUCAGAGGGGUUUUUUCCCCCUCCUCAAAAUUAUCCCGUUAACACUUUUAUUAGAGGACCUGUCUUCUCUUUAAACUGAAGCGAUAGUGACUUUAGCAGUCUUGAGUUCUGCUCCAUGCUCUGGUGCAGCUUCGGACAGGUUCUCUGUGAGGCAUCCAGUGCCCUGUGGGCCAGCGCUCUGCGUGUCCCGCAUCAGUGGGGACACGUCCGUCCCCAGGCAGGGCCCAGCUUUCCCGGAGGUUCCUUCUCUGUGGUUCCAUCUUGCUGAAGAUCAGGGACGGUCCCGCCCAUGAGAGCAGCCUGAACGUUCAAGGCUGGACAUGGUCAUUGGCUCUGCCCGUCAGGGCCGCUGUCUUGGGGCUGCUGAGCCCGGCUUCUGCCGUGGGCCUCCUGCAGUGAGGGGUGACCUUGGCCACUGGUUUGUGCCUGGACACCAGGUCUUCACUCUUCUGCUGGGAAGAAGUGGGGCUCUCUGUGCUCAUCACACCCUGGGUGUCCAUAUGGACUCGGUAUUCCAGUUCGGGUGAACUCCUCAAUCCUGACAGUUCCCACUCUUGAGGGCUCUGCCAGCUGCCUGGAAAGGAGCAAGCCCCACUGGCCCACUCCCCUGCAAGUCCAGCGAGCUGCCCAGGAGUGGCACAGAGGAGGCCCUGCUGACCAGUGUUUUCUGGGGUGGUUCCUCGUGCUUGUUCCCCUCUACAGUCACAGAGACGUGCCUGGUGCCAUCCUCUGACAGCGGCCUGCCAGGACCUGGAUGGGCUCCUGGGAGUGAAAUGCAGACCCUCUGUCCUUCAAACUCUUCCUCAUCACUGGCAUCAUUGGCAUCAUAGCAGCCCACCUUCCUCCGGCUGGCUGGGGUGUAGCUCAGCGAUGGAGCCCGUGCCUAACAUGCUCCACGCCCUGAGUUGAGUGCCUCUACUGCCAGAAGAAAACAAACCUCUGCUCCUUCAGCGGUGCAUCACUUCCCACCAGGUGCUAUCAGUAUGUGGCC